Molecule: long non-coding RNA, 1645 nt
Organism: Heterocephalus glaber (naked mole-rat)
Lineage: Eukaryota; Metazoa; Chordata; Mammalia; Rodentia; Bathyergidae
Source: RefSeq, a predicted model, not a curated record
CUGUAUUAAGGCAGGAGCCUGUCGCCAGGGUGUCCUUCCUCUCAGAGACGGGUGGGGGCACGGCCAAGUGUUCACUAGAGACCCAUGGCGUCCUACUCCACGAACACCUGUCUCAACUUCUCAUUCCCCUUCAGACUUUACCCCCAGGCAACUCCUUCCACAAGGGUCCCUCACCAGUUAAGCUUCACUCUCCAGGGCCCCAGUAAGUGGUCCAGUGACUGCUAUGUUCUCCCCCCAGUCCUUGGUCCCCUAGACAGAUGCCCUAUUGCAUCGGACUCCUGCACUGAGUAUCUGCACGGCUGUGGCCAUCUGCUUGACCUCUCUGGCCUGCGGCUACGCAGCUGAACACAGCAUGAAGAUAGCAGCACCGAUGGCAAAGGGUGAGGGAGGUGACAGGCACAAUGAGAUCAGCCUUGCGGAAAUGGAGUGCCCAUCACAAUUAGCCCUUGCUUCACUUCCCUACAGUGCUGCUCACACCAUAGUUCUUUUCUUUUCUUUCAUUUUGGUUCUCUGAGAUGGGGUCUCUAUGUAUUCCACGCUGACCUUGAACUCACUAUGUAGCCCAGGCUGGCUUCAAACUCAUGGUGAUCCUCCUGCCUCAGCCUCCAGAAUGCUGGUAUUAUAAUUGUGCACAACCACUCCAAGCUUCACACCACAGUUCUUGUCUCUCUCUAGUUACUGCGAUGUUCACAUCUUUUUCUCUCCUUCUUGAAGGAGCUUCUCUGGCGAAUUCCUCACUUUCUCUCCUCUAGGUUCCUCCAGCACCUCGGGAAGCUGUGAUCACUGCAAACCUACUGUGUGCUGGCUCUGUGUGGGGAGAGCUGCUCCCUGCCCCAGCCAGUGCCAGUGCUUCGGGCUCAUUUCUCAGCUAAGUUCUGGAAGGACAGGCACUGCCUCUGUCAUCUCUGUGUCAUCACAGAGGUGCCUAACAGAUGUUUGUGACCUAACAAAGACCAAGUGGGGCCAGCUGGCCUGAGGAGGCUGUGAACCUGUUGUGUGCGUGGGUGGGAGGGGUUGACCGCCCCUCAGACCUGCCUGGUGCCUGGAGCCUGCUCUGCAGAUGUGAACACCUGGAAGCUGACACUCUGUCCAUGCAGAUCGGCUGGUGCACCUGGGAACGGAGCUCCUCCUGAGCUCCCUCUCAGACCUGGUGUCUGUCCAGGACCUUGCAGCGCCAACAGCCACCCACCCAGUGACUGCACAGGGAAGUUCACAGGCUGCUUGACACAAGCAAACAACGCCGAGAGGGUCUGUCUUGCUUUGCGGAAGAAAAAACUCCAAACCAUCAGUAAAUAUAUUAAAGAGGCUGAGCAGGAAUUCUUGCCAGAUGUGAUUAACAAGGAUAUGCACUUGACCGUGACAGUACAUGGAUGCUUCUUGAUCAUGACACAUGGUCAAGCAGAGCAGAAGGGAGGAAGGAGAAUGGCCCAAGAGGACAAAGCCAGAUUUACAUGGUGUUUCCAAGGUCCCCUACAGAGCCUUGAAGUCCAGCUUGAGGACCCCUGGCUUCCAGUUUCUGGGUCCUGGAUUAGGGAGUCUCCAUCUUUCAAUCUCACAGAAUAUACCCCACUUUCUCCUACUGUCACCCAACUUGGGGAUCGAUACAGGCCUAUUUGUCGAGUAAGACUAUUAAAGGGGAAAAGAU